CCCCUGGUUCCCUUCAUCAGAGCUUGUGCUCCUGUUUGUUCUCCUCAGCCUCACCCCACCUGGAGCCCUGGAUCUUCCCUAAACAAACCCUGCUGGAUCUGCCAAGCCAAGAGUGCCCUCGUCUGUCUGUGCUUUUUCCCGUUAUUUGAUAUAGUCAGUGAUGGCCUAAGUAUCCCAUGGCUGAAUUAGAAGACUACAGGGGCUGGCUAUGGAUGACAGUCACGUCUCUGGCCUGGUGCACACCAGGUCCACACAUGAGCUGAGGGAUCAUCCUUGCACACCCCAUCCUGGAAGAACCCAGGCAAGUUGAACAGAAAAUCUGCCUCUUCCUCCAUGAUUUUUGAGCGCCAAAGCAAAGAACCAUGAAAAAAAAAC
Molecule: long non-coding RNA, 375 nt
Organism: Passer domesticus (house sparrow)
Lineage: Eukaryota; Metazoa; Chordata; Aves; Passeriformes; Passeridae
Exons: 4
Source: RefSeq, a predicted model, not a curated record